Molecule: ribosomal RNA, 486 nt
Filed under: uncultured bacterium
Lineage: Bacteria
Description: partial 16S ribosomal RNA
Rfam family: Bacterial small subunit ribosomal RNA
Source: RNAcentral
AUUGAACGCUGGCGGCAUGCCUUACACAUGCAAGUCGAACGGCAGCACGGGUGCUUGCACCUGGUGGCGAGUGGCGAACGGGUGAGUAAUACAUCGGAACAUGUCCUGUAGUGGGGGAUAGCCCGGCGAAAGCCGGAUUAAUACCGCAUACGAUCUACGGAUGAAAGCGGGGGACCUUCGGGCCUCGCGCUAUAGGGUUGGCCGAUGGCUGAUUAGCUAGUUGGUGGGGUAAAGGCCUACCAAGGCGACGAUCAGUAGCUGGUCUGAGAGGACGACCAGCCACACUGGGACUGAGACACGGCCCAGACUCCUACGGGAGGCAGCAGUGGGGAAUUUUGGGCAAUGGGCGAAAGCCUGAUCCAGCAAUGCCGCGUGUGUGAAGAAGGCCUUCGGGUUGUAAAGCACUUUUGUCCGGAAAGAAAUCCUUGGCCCUAAUACGGUCGGGGGAUGACGGUACCGGAAGAAUAUGCACCGGCUAACUACGUG